AGUGAACGCUGGCGGUAGGCCUAACACAUGCAAGUCGAACGGCAGCACAGUAAGAGCUUGCUCUUACGGGUGGCGAGUGGCGGACGGGUGAGGAAUACAUCGGAAUCUACUUUUUCGUGGGGGAUAACGUAGGGAAACUUACGCUAAUACCGCAUACGACCUACGGGUGAAAGCAGGGGAUCUUCGUACCUUGCGCGAUUGAAUGAGCCGAUGUCGGAUUAGCUAGUUGGCGGGGUAAAGGCCCACCAAGGCGACGAUCCGUAGCUGGUCUGAGAGGAUGAACAGCCACACUGGAACUGAGACACGGUACAGACUCCUACGGGAGGCAGCAGUGGGGAAUAUUGGACAAUGGGCGAAAGCCUGAUCCAGCAAUACCGCGUGGGUGAAGAAGGCCUUCGGGUUGGAAAGCCCUGUUGUUGGGAAAGAAAAGCAGCAGGUUAAUACCCCGAUGUUCUGACGGUACCAAAAGAAUAAGCACCGGCUAACUUCGUG
This 492-nucleotide ribosomal RNA is filed under the name uncultured bacterium. RNAcentral describes it as "partial 16S ribosomal RNA". It matches the Rfam family "Bacterial small subunit ribosomal RNA", at positions 29 to 507 of the family's 1533-position model. The record is from RNAcentral.